CUGCUGACGUCAAUCUGGGGCACAUUUUAGCCUCCUGUGCUUUGCGUUUAGGAAGCUGAAGCCCAUUACCUAUAAUUGGUUCCACCUACAUGUAAUUUGUCGAGGAGAGAAAGCAACAAGAUGCAGAUUCUCCCUAGGAUCAUGGGCACGAGGUGUGUUCCUGAUGGCCUUGCAGCUCUCCUACAGAGAGGCUUUGGGUUGAGCUCUUCUGGCUUGGAGGACCUUUCCAGCACGUGUGUAUUUGUUCUCAGAUGGAACAGAAAGGAAAUAAAACCUCAAUACCAAAACCUCCUACAAGCUGCCAACAUCCAUUUUGACCAGCCCAGCAACCACCAAAGCACAGGAAAAGGCUGUUACGGUGGAUUUGUCGGGGGAAGAGUGUCACGUUUGGAAUUAUCGCUGCGGAGAGCUGUGCUAACAACGGUGCUUGGGCUUUUAGUGCCCAAUUAGUAGCGUGCUGCAACUGCACCUCCCCUCAUUACUUGCUAUCAUUUCAUUCUGCAAAGAGUUAGCACAAUGUUUAUAAAGCCCUUCCUCCACUGAAUACCGGUGCGUCCAACUGGAUCGAGGUUCGGGCCAUGCCAGCCCACUCCUGUGUUCCUGCUGGGCAAGGCAAAACAAUAAAUUGGCAACACACUGCACGGAGCUGGGGACUGGGUGGAAAUCACCACCAUCACUAAAGGAGGAGAAAACUAAAGGAAUUAGAAAUAAUAUCAAAUGGGUAUCAUCACAAAAUUAAAAAAUGUAGUUUCCAUCACUGCAAUGGGGAAUGCAACACCAGUUAGGAGCUCGACAGUCAUGAGUGCCUCCUUUAUGCGUGUCUGACAGCCUCCAAGUGUAAUGACUGCUGUGAUUGCCCUUACACAGCUUAUAAUAGGGCUCCAGCUCUCCUUGGCUUGUCCUGCAUAAACAGAUGAUAAUAACCUGGUUCACACCAUGAUUUAAGGACAAACAAUUACUCACGGGGAGGUAUAAACAGAUGAGAGAGGUAAAAUUUAAAAUUAGAGAUUUAGAGAAUUAUGGUACUAUCGGAUGUAUCAGUACAUCUGAUGCCCCUGAAUUUAUUGGCCUUACUUAGGGAUCAUUUUACAGGUGAGUUUCAAGGAUAAUUUUGCUUUGGAAGAAGAUAAUGAUGCACCUUGCUGAUGCAUUUGGUUUACAAAUGACUAAUUUUUAAGCAGAGCACUCAGAGUAUGCAUAAAUGGAGAUGAAGGAGAAGGCAUCAUGACUUUGUUAGGGAGAUUAAGCUGAUGUUGCUGUCCAGGCCAGAAAGCAGAUAGAGGUGAGGGGAAAGGAAAGUCCUGAAGCUACAGCAAGUGAAUUUGUGUAGCACAAUAAUAACAGUGUGGAGGAGAGGGGUUUGCAGGAGUGGCAGCAUCCCCUCUGGCAGGCAAUGCUGCAGGGUCACCCCACCUUGCCCAGCCCAGCUCGUCUGUGAACCCGUGGCUACCAAA
Anas platyrhynchos (mallard) is the source of this 1454-nucleotide non-coding RNA. The record is from RefSeq and is a predicted model, not a curated record. NCBI's taxonomy places the organism in Eukaryota, Metazoa, Chordata, Aves, Anseriformes, Anatidae.